This is a long non-coding RNA of Lycium barbarum (goji berry), 1094 nucleotides long. RefSeq lists it as uncharacterized. Lineage: Eukaryota; Viridiplantae; Streptophyta; Magnoliopsida; Solanales; Solanaceae. The record is from RefSeq and is a predicted model, not a curated record. The transcript is spliced from 3 exons.
CAAUUAAGGUACUGAAUAUGAUUAAACUUUAUGGGAAACCAAUACGAGUGAAUAAGGCAUCUCAAGAUAAAAAGAGUGUUGAUGUUGGUGCCAACUUGUUUGUUGGGAACCUUGAUCCUGAUGUAGAUGAGAAGCUUCUAUACGACACUUUUAGUGCUUUUGGAGUUGUUGUCUCAAAUCCAAAGGUUUAAGUCAUUUCUCUUCUACUUUCAUAUGAUUCAUGAUUCUUCAUUUUGCUGCUUUUAAAGAUGCGUGUCUGGACUUCCUAUGUAGUAAAGAAAAAAGAAGAGCUCAAUCUGUAUUGAUUAAUUCUUGCCUAUUUUGUAUCCCUGCUUCAGAUUAUGUUUUUAAAUCCUAACAAUCUGCUAGUGAGUAUUGUAUCCAUACAUCCUCUAACAAACAUCUAACCCUUGUAAAGUUGAUUCUCUAGGUUCUUUCGUGUCCUUUAUUUUCAUUUUUCAAUUGGGUGGGGGGAGCCCGAAAAAGACGGUUCCUUGAUGGUUGCAAUGUCAUUAAUGAUUGUCCUCCUUACUUAGCAUAGAGAUAUUGACCAAACUGCUAGUGCAUUCCGAUCUAGUUUGAACAUUGAGCCAUUUUUUCUUCAUUUAAUAAUCAAUAUACAUCUUUCAAAUUACUCGCCCUGGCAAACAUAGCACUAGCAGAUCAUCAAAAAACUGUAGGUGGUUCACUUUUACACCACCUUGCGUUAACAUCUAUAUCUGCAUCACUUAAGACAACUCUCACUACUUUGUUGUCCAUCACGGUAGUCAGUGCUUCUGGUAUUAAUAUGAUGAGCAUGCAUCGAAUAUUUGUCUCCUUUCCGUAAAAGCAUUUUGAGAUGUUGAUCCAUUACAUCUAGUACCUAGCCUCAACGACCUUGUUAGUCUGGCAAAAGCACCUCAACAAAUAUCUUAUUGUUGUUUCCCACUUGACCUAAAUAUAAAGUCUCUGGUUUUGAAUGUCCUUUGGGAUGAGUGCUAUCAAAGAUGUAUUGAAACUUAUGAAUACUUGACCAUGUUCUAGCAUUGGUGAAAUAGUGGCCAUUUUGAAGCCAUCAAUGGCUAGUGUUUUUCUCCCGCACAGCUUUUAAAUAC